GUGGGGAAUAUUGGACAAUGGGCGAAAGCCUGAUCCAGCAAUGGCGCGUGAGUGAUGAAGGCCUUAGGGUUGUAAAGCUCUUUUACCAGGGAUGAUAAUGACAGUACCUGGAGAAUAAGCUCCGGCUAACUCCGUGCCAGCAGCCGCGGUAAUACGGAGGGAGCUAGCGUUGUUCGGAAUUACUGGGCGUAAAGCGCGCGUAGGCGGCUCAGCAAGUCAGGGGUGAAAUCCCGGGGCUCAACCCCGGAACUGCCUUUGAAACUGCUAGGCUAGAAUCCUGGAGAGGCGAGUGGAAUUCCGAGUGUAGAGGUGAAAUUCGUAGAUAUUCGGAAGAACACCAGUGGCGAAGGCGACUCGCUGGACAGGUAUUGACGCUGAGGUGCGAAAGCGUGGGGAGCAAGCAGGAUUAGAUACCCUGGUAGUCC
This 425-nucleotide ribosomal RNA is filed under the name uncultured bacterium. Its description in RNAcentral is "partial 16S ribosomal RNA". It matches the Rfam family "Bacterial small subunit ribosomal RNA", at positions 354 to 796 of the family's 1533-position model. The record is from RNAcentral.